This 407-nucleotide ribosomal RNA is filed under the name uncultured bacterium. RNAcentral's name for it is "partial 16S ribosomal RNA". It matches the Rfam family "Bacterial small subunit ribosomal RNA", at positions 30 to 526 of the family's 1533-position model. The record is from RNAcentral.
AUUGAACGCUGGCGGCAGGCCUAACACAUGCAAGUCGAGCGGAGCGGCGGACGGGUGAGUAAUGUAUGGGGAUCUGCCCGAUCGAGGGGGAUAACGUCCGGAAACGGGCGCUAAUACCGCAUACUAUCAGAUGAGCCUAGGUCGGAUUAGCUAGUUGGUGGGGUAAAGGCCGACCAAGGCGACGAUCCCUAGCUGGUCUGAGAGGAUGAUCAGCCACACUGGGACUGAGACACGGCCCAGACUCCUACGGGAGGCAGCAGUGGGGAAUAUUGCACAAUGGGCGCAAGCCUGAUGCAGCCAUGCCGCGUGUAUGAAGAAGGCCUUCGGGUUGUAAAGUACUUUCAGUCGGGAGGCGUUACCGACAGAAGAAGCACCGGCUAACUCCGUGCCAGCAGCCGCGGUAAUAC